GAAAAAUGAUGAUAGUUCAUGUCGCCCCAGUCUUAAGUUGCAUCCAAUUUAUUGGAUUUGCAAGGUGGUGAUUGACUCAUUAUAUCUGAUUC
Molecule: non-coding RNA, 92 nt
Organism: Solanum lycopersicum (tomato)
Lineage: Eukaryota; Viridiplantae; Streptophyta; Magnoliopsida; Solanales; Solanaceae
Source: Rfam